This 409-nucleotide ribosomal RNA is filed under the name uncultured bacterium. Its description in RNAcentral is "bacterial SSU rRNA". It matches the Rfam family "Bacterial small subunit ribosomal RNA", at positions 509 to 916 of the family's 1533-position model. The record is from RNAcentral.
CAGCAGCCGCGGUAAUACAGAGGGCGCGAGCGUUGUCCGGAAUCACUGGGCGUAAAGGGCGCGUAGGUGGCUUUUUAAGCGUGCGGUGAAAACUCGAGGCUCAACCUCGAGACGUCGGCGGAAACCAUCUGGCUAGAGUCCGGAAGAGGAGAGUGGAAUUCCUGGUGUAGCGGUGAAAUGCGCAGAUAUCAGGAAGAACACCCGUGGCGAAGGCGGCUCUCUGGGACGGUACUGACGCUGAGACGCGAAAGCGUGGGGAGCGAACAGGAUUAGAUACCCUGGUAGUCCACGCCGUAAACGAUGGGUGCUAGGUGUGGGCGGUGUCGACUCCGUCCGUGCCGAAGCUAACGCAUUAAGCACCCCGCCUGGGGAGUACGACCGCAAGGCUAAAACUCAAAGGAAUUGACGG